RNAcentral lists this ribosomal RNA (462 nucleotides) under uncultured bacterium. RNAcentral describes it as "partial 16S ribosomal RNA". It matches the Rfam family "Bacterial small subunit ribosomal RNA", at positions 28 to 507 of the family's 1533-position model. The record is from RNAcentral.
GACGAACGCUGGCGGCGUGCUUAACACAUGCAAGUCGAGCGGAAAGGCCCUUCGGGGUACUCGAGCGGCGAACGGGUGAGUAACACGUGAGUAACCUGCCCCAGACUUUGGGAUAACCCUCGGAAACGGGGGCUAAUACCGGAUACGACACAGCUUCGCAUGGGGUCUGUGUGGAAAGGUUUUCGGUUUGGGAUGGGCUCGCGGCCGAUCAGCUUGUUGGAGGGGUGAGGGCCGACCAAGGCGACGACGGGUAGCCGGCCUGAGAGGGGGACCGGCCACCCUGGGCCUGCGGCACGGCCCAGUCUCCUACGGGAGGCAGCAGUGGGAAAUAUUGCCCAAUCGGCCGAAGCCUGUUGCGGAGACGCCGCGUGUGGGAUGACGGCCUUCGGGUUGUAAACAUCUUUCAGCAGGGACGAAGCGUAAGUGACGGUACCUGCAGAAGAAGCGCCGGCCAACUACGUG